RNAcentral lists this ribosomal RNA (250 nucleotides) under uncultured bacterium. RNAcentral describes it as "partial 16S ribosomal RNA". It matches the Rfam family "Bacterial small subunit ribosomal RNA", at positions 796 to 1041 of the family's 1533-position model. The record is from RNAcentral.
CUGGCAGUAAACGGUGCACGCUUGGUGUGGCAGGAAUCGACCCCUGCCGUGCCGGAGCUAACGCGUUAAGCGUGCCGCCUGGGAAGUACGGUCGCAAGAUUAAAACUCAAAGAAAUUGACGGGGACCCGCACAAGCGGUGGAGUAUGUGGCUUAAUUCGAUGCAACGCGAAGAACCUUACCUGGGCUUGACAUGCAUUCUGUCACCGGUGAAAGCCGGUUAGUGGAGCAAUCCACGGUUUGCACAGGUGU